RNAcentral lists this ribosomal RNA (1129 nucleotides) under uncultured fungus. RNAcentral's name for it is "eukaryotic LSU rRNA". The stretch from base 472 to 1129 matches the Rfam family "Eukaryotic large subunit ribosomal RNA", at positions 1 to 649 of the family's 3401-position model. Lineage: Eukaryota; Fungi. The record is from RNAcentral.
AAGUCAUAACAAGGUUUCCGUAGGUGAACCUGCGGAAGGAUCAUUAUUGAACCUGGGAUCUCCAGCCUCACAAGGCUUGGUAGAUCCUUAACCAUACACAUCGUGAAUUGUGGCUUCGGCCGUUUUUACAACUUUUGUCAUGAAUGUCAAACCAAAAAACAAAAUAAAACUUUCAACAACGGAUCUCUAGGCUCUCGCAUCGAUGAAGAACGCAGCGAAAUGCGAUAAGUAAUGUGAAUUGCAGAAUUCAGUGAAUCAUCGAAUCUUUGAACGCACCUUGCGCCCUUUGGUAUUCCAAAGGGCAUGCCUGUUUGAGUGUCAUGAAAACUCAUCCUCCUUGGGGUCUCCCCAACUGGAGUGAUGGAUUGGGUGUCUGCCGAUAAUCAUCGGCUCACCUUAAAAGUGUCAGUGGUCAACUUGGAUGUAAUACGUUUCGUCCUGUUUCUGCUCAUAACAUCAAUUCUUUCAAUCUGACCUCAAAUCAGGUAGGGCUACCCGCUGAACUUAAGCAUAUCAAUAAGCGGAGGACAAGAAACUAACAAGGAUUCCCCUAGUAACGGCGAGUGAACCGGGAAGAGCUCAAAUUUGUAAUCUGGCGUCUUUUGGGCGUCCGAGUUGUAAUCUAUAGAGGUGUUUUCCGCGCCGGAAUGCGUCCAAGUCCCUUGGAACAGGGUAUCAAAGAGGGUGAUAAUCCCGUACUUGACGCAACAACCGGUGCUAUGUGAUACACUCUCAACGAGUCGAGUUGUUUGGGAAUGCAGCUCUAAAUGGGUGGUAAAUUCCAUCUAAGGCUAAAUAUUGGCGAGAGACCGAUAGCGAACAAGUACCGUGAGGGAAAGAUGAAAAGCACUUUGGAAAGAGAGUUAAACAGUACGUGAAAUUGUUGAAAGGGAAACGAUUGAAGUCAGUCGUGUGGGAGGUAUUCAGCCGUUUUUGACGGUGUACUUGCCUCUCACGGGUCAACAUCAGUUUGGAUCGGCAGAAAAAGUCGAUAGGAAGGUGGCAUGCUUGCAUGUGUUAUAGCCUUUUGAUGCAUCUAUCGGUCUGGACUGAGGAACGCAGCUUGCAGCAAUGCCGGGGUUCGCCCACGUACAAGCUUAGGAUGUUGACAUAAUGGCUUUAAACGACC